Molecule: ribosomal RNA, 483 nt
Filed under: uncultured bacterium
Lineage: Bacteria
Description: partial 16S ribosomal RNA
Rfam family: Bacterial small subunit ribosomal RNA
Source: RNAcentral
GACGAACGCUGGCGGCGUGCUUAACACAUGCAAGUCGAACGCUGAAGCUCAGCUUUUGUUGGGUGGAUGAGUGGCGAACGGGUGAGUGACACGUGAGUAACCUGCCUCCUUCUUUGGGAUAACGCCCGGAAACGGGUGCUAAUACUGGAUAUUCACUGGUCUUCGCAUGGGGGUUGGUGGAAAGGGUUUUUCUGGUGGGGGAUGGGCUCGCGGCCUAUCAGCUUGUUGGUGGGGUGAUGGCCUACCAAGGCUUUGACGGGUAGCCGGCCUGAGAGGGUGACCGGUCACAUUGGGACUGAGAUACGGCCCAGACUCCUACGGGAGGCAGCAGUGGGGAAUAUUGCACAAUGGGCGCAAGCCUGAUGCAGCGACGCCGCGUGAGGGAUGGAGGCCUUCGGGUUGUGAACCUCUUUCGCUCAUGGUCAAGCCGCAACAAUGGUUGUGGUGAGGGUAGUGGGUAAAGAAGCGCCGGCUAACUACGUG